Molecule: ribosomal RNA, 417 nt
Filed under: uncultured eukaryote
Lineage: Eukaryota
Description: SSU rRNA
Rfam family: Eukaryotic small subunit ribosomal RNA
Source: RNAcentral
CCAGCAGCUGCGGUAAUUCCAGCUCCAAUAGCGUAUAUUUAAGUUGUUGCAGUUAAAAAGCUCGUAGUUGGAUUUCGGGUGGGGUGGUGCGGUCCGCCUCUGGUGUGCACUGCUCCGCUCCACCUUCCUGCCGGGGACGGGCUCCUGGGGCUUCACUGUCUCGGGACUCGGAGUCGGCGAUGUUACUUUGAGUAAAUUAGAGUGUUCAAAGCAGGCCUACGCUCUGAAUACAUUAGCAUGGAAUAACACGAUAGGACUCUGGCCUAUCUGUUGGUCUGUGGGACCGGAGUAAUGAUUAAGAGGGGUAGUCGGGGGCAUUCGUAUUCCGUUGUCAGAGGUGAAAUUCUUGGAUUUACGGAAGACGAACAUCUGCGAAAGCAUUUGCCAAGGAUACUUUCAUUGAUCAAGAACGAAAGU